Molecule: ribosomal RNA, 1372 nt
Filed under: uncultured bacterium
Lineage: Bacteria
Description: bacterial SSU rRNA
Rfam family: Bacterial small subunit ribosomal RNA
Source: RNAcentral
GAUGAACGCUGGCGGCGUGCCUAAUACAUGCAAGUCGAGCGAACGGACGAGAAGCUUGCUUCUCUGAUGUUAGCGGCGGACGGGUGAGUAACACGUGGAUAACCUACCUAUAAGACUGGGAUAACUUCGGGAAACCGGAGCUAAUACCGGAUAAUAUUUUGAACCGCAUGGUUCAAAAGUGAAAGACGGUCUUGCUGUCACUUAUAGAUGGAUCCGCGCUGCAUUAGCUAGUUGGUAAGGUAACGGCUUACCAAGGCAACGAUGCAUAGCCGACCUGAGAGGGUGAUCGGCCACACUGGAACUGAGACACGGUCCAGACUCCUACGGGAGGCAGCAGUAGGGAAUCUUCCGCAAUGGGCGAAAGCCUGACGGAGCAACGCCGCGUGAGUGAUGAAGGUCUUCGGAUCGUAAAACUCUGUUAUUAGGGAAGAACAUAUGUGUAAGUAACUGUGCACAUCUUGACGGUACCUAAUCAGAAAGCCACGGCUAACUACGUGCCAGCAGCCGCGGUAAUACGUAGGUGGCAAGCGUUAUCCGGAAUUAUUGGGCGUAAAGCGCGCGUAGGCGGUUUUUUAAGUCUGAUGUGAAAGCCCACGGCUCAACCGUGGAGGGUCAUUGGAAACUGGAAAACUUGAGUGCAGAAGAGGAAAGUGGAAUUCCAUGUGUAGCGGUGAAAUGCGCAGAGAUAUGGAGGAACACCAGUGGCGAAGGCGACUUUCUGGUCUGUAACUGACGCUGAUGUGCGAAAGCGUGGGGAUCAAACAGGAUUAGGUACCCUGGUAGUCCACGCCGUAAACGAUGAGUGCUAAGUGUUAGGGGGUUUCCGCCCCUUAGUGCUGCAGCUAACGCAUUAAGCACUCCGCCUGGGGAGUACGACCGCAAGGUUGAAACUCAAAGGAAUUGACGGGGACCCGCACAAGCGGUGGAGCAUGUGGUUUAAUUCGAAGCAACGCGAAGAACCUUACCAAAUCUUGACAUCCUUUGACAACUCUAGAGAUAGAGCCUUCCCCUUCGGGGGACAAAGUGACAGGUGGUGCAUGGUUGUCGUCAGCUCGUGUCGUGAGAUGUUGGGUUAAGUCCCGCAACGAGCGCAACCCUUAAGCUUAGUUGCCAUCAUUAAGUUGGGCACUCUAAGUUGACUGCCGGUGACAAACCGGAGGAAGGUGGGGAUGACGUCAAAUCAUCAUGCCCCUUAUGAUUUGGGCUACACACGUGCUACAAUGGACAAUACAAAGGGCAGCGAAACCGCGAGGUCAAGCAAAUCCCAUAAAGUUGUUCUCAGUUCGGAUUGUAGUCUGCAACUCGACUACAUGAAGCUGGAAUCGCUAGUAAUCGUAGAUCAGCAUGCUACGGUGAAUACGUUCCCGGGUCU